UGCAGAGGAGAAGGAAGUCAGGAAUAUGAAGUGCCAUAUUCUACUUUACACAUACAAAUACCAUAUGCCGAUUAUUACGUCUUAUUGCGCAUAUUAACAGCCUCCUAUCCACAGCUAAAAGAAAUCCAUAGACAGAAUUCACAAAAAGAAAACAAGCCAUUCAUGCCAAUUGCUGUGUAUCCAAUAAAUGAUAAAUCACCAGUAAUCGGACAUAUUCUACAAGGAAACCAAGAUUCUGGAUUCCUCAAAGGAACAACAGAUAAGGAUACCAGUCUUGCUGUUCCUAUUGCCACUUACCUCAUCAAUCACCCGUCACUUACAAAUGAUACAAGAUAUAUUAUUCAAGG
Molecule: long non-coding RNA, 347 nt
Organism: Daphnia pulicaria
Lineage: Eukaryota; Metazoa; Arthropoda; Branchiopoda; Diplostraca; Daphniidae
Exons: 3
Source: RefSeq, a predicted model, not a curated record